GAGCCAGCAUGGCAUAGUGGUUUGAGUGCUGGACUAUAACUCUGGAGACCCAGGGUUCAAAUCCCCACUCGCUCA
Phrynosoma platyrhinos (Desert horned lizard) is the source of this 75-nucleotide non-coding RNA. NCBI's taxonomy places the organism in Eukaryota, Metazoa, Chordata, Lepidosauria, Squamata, Phrynosomatidae. The record is from the annotation of a GenBank genome assembly.